UAAAUUGUUCAUUAAUUGUGAACUGGAAUGAAGGAAAAAAUAGUUUAAUUCUGUCUUAAAGUUAUUAAUCGAAUUUAAAUUUUUUAUAAAAAUGUAAAAAUAUAACUUAGGGACAAGAAGACCCUACAAAGCUUUUUUUUCUAUAUAUUUGUUUUCUAAUAUAUGAUUAAUUUGAUUGGGGCAAUAAUUUAUUAAUAAUAAAUAUAAAUUUAAUUAAAUAAUAAAAUUUUAAAAUAUUUUUGAUCCAUUAUUAAUGAAAGAUGAUUAAGUUACUUUAGGGAUAACAGGAUAAUUUUUAUUAGAAAGUUCUUAUUAAUAAUAAAGUUUAUUACCUCGAUGUUGAAUUAAUUUAAUUUAAUGGUGAAGUAACUUUUUGAGUUUGACUGUUCGUCAAUUAAAUAAUUACAUGAUCUGAGUUC
RNAcentral lists this ribosomal RNA (419 nucleotides) under Aoraki denticulata. RNAcentral's name for it is "partial 16S ribosomal RNA". The stretch from base 280 to 419 matches the Rfam family "Bacterial large subunit ribosomal RNA", at positions 2473 to 2612 of the family's 2925-position model. Lineage: Eukaryota; Metazoa; Arthropoda; Arachnida; Opiliones; Pettalidae. The record is from RNAcentral.